UUUUAUUGAUUUAUUUUUUAUUUAUUUAUCUAUUUAUUUAUUUUUUUUUUUUUUUUUAUGUUACAGGUGAUGAUUAUAGUUAAGAAGUACAUGCUGUAAGAGUGAGAGUGAGAGGAAGUGUUCAGUUAGUAAAGAAAUAUCUGUCUUUACCUCUCAUCAUAUCACUUUUUAUCUUUAUUUAUUUAUUUAUUAUUAUCAUUUUUUUAAUGUUUCAGGUAAUGAUUAAGGUUAAGAAAGUGGAUAUCAUGAAAGUAAGAGAGAGGAAGUGUUCAGUCAAUAAAAAAAAUGUCUGUCUUUACCUCUUAGUACUUUUUAUUAUUAUUAUUAUUAUUAUUAUUAUUAUUAUUAUUAUUAUUAUUAUUAUUAUUAUUAUUAUUAUUAUUAUUAUUAUUCCUCUUGGCAAUGAACAAGAGAUGCAAAGUGAGUGGGAAUCCGAAAGAAGGAGACUGGAAUGAGAGUGGGAAGAUUUUUGGACGAACUAAUUAAUAUUGUCCCCAUCAUCCCAAAGCCACAAUACAGUAUUAAUCCCUACUUAAAAUUAUCUUACUACAAUUUUCCUCAUCACUUCAAACAUUUCAGUACAGUUUUCCCCCUCACUUCAGACAUUUCACUAUAGUUUUCCUCACCACUUCAGACAUUUCACUACAGUUUUCCCCCUCACUUCAGACAUUUCACUACAGUUUUCCCCCUCACUUCAGACAUUUCACUACAGUUUUCCCCCUCACUUCAGACAUUUCACUACAGUUUUCCCCCUCACUUCAUACAUUUCACUACAGUUUUCCUCCUCACUUCAAACAUUUCACUACAGUUUUCCUCCUCACUUCAGACAUUUCACUACGGUUUUCCUCCCCUUAUCAAACUUCUUAGGAUAACUUGAGGCAGCACAGGACUUCAUAAACAAAUAGACAAGGGAAGGAAUGCAAGUCCUCCCGCACACGCUGCAAAAGAUGAUAAACGUUUUCUUGUAUUUUUCUAGGACGACAAACUAAAUGCAUCGGUUCUUGUUUGUUUAUGGCUUGUGUGAUGUAUUUCCAGAUUUACAGAGAAAUGUUAGUGGUGUAGUGUUUCAUUUAGUGUAUUUUGUAAUGUAAUGUAUUUUUAUAUAUAUACUUUAUUUCGUUUCAUAUAUCUGCCAUUAAACCUUAUAUUAUUAUACUUUUAGAUUUAGAUUUAUGUAUUUUCUAACAAAGUACUUCUGGUGCGUUUGAUCAUUGCAUUUACUACAGCUAAGUGUUAGGGAAUACGGUAUUUAAUUUACCCAUACAAGUAUUUUCUCUAAGUUACAGUAGUUGUGUUUGUUGGUACAGCCACAACACAAAAUUCACUAAGAUGCUAUUAUAUUCAACUUUCAUUUAUUUUAUUCAUUUUAUUUAUUUAUAUUUUUUCCCAACUUGUUUAAUUGUAGCUUGCAUUUUCCCAUGGUGGCACAGUGGUGGUGAGGAGUGGAGCACCCUGCCACACUCACCAACAGCAUUUUGUGUCUUAAUCUUUUCACUGCCAUAUACAACAAUUCACAUCAUUGAAAACAAUGUAUGGGAUCUUUCAAGUGCAUUUACAAGAAAGAAUGGGACAAAAAGAUAAUAGACUUUGCCAUUUAUAUCUAGUGCAGUGUGUGGAGGCAGUUGUGGAGCAAGAAAAUACAUCUCAGAGUGGUUGGUAAUAAUGUGUCAAUUAGCAGUGAUGGGGUUAAGUCCCUCAGUGUGCCCUCAGUGUUGUGCACCACCAAACACUCGACAGGCUUCCAAGGCUUCCCAAUGAUCAGGGGACUUAAGACAGAAGGCAAACACAGGCAAGGCAAAUGUGGCAAUUACUGCACCAUGAAUGUACCUAAUACAUUCAUGUACCUAAUACCACUUGUCAGAGGGUCAGGUUUUGGCCACUAGCACCAUUAUUGAGACCUUUUUUACUUUUUUAUUUAUUUUACGUUAUCUUUUAUUUAUUUGUUUAUAUUCCCUUAGGCCAGCGUCCCUCUUACAUGAGAAAAUUAAAAAGGAAAUAUUGUUUAGGGUGAAGGAGGGCCUGAGUGCUGGGCUGGCUUUAACAAAUUCACAUCAGCUCAGACUUAACUCUUGUGGAAUAUUUAGGGUCAGGCGUGUGGCAGCCAGUGUUAGCAUGGGGCUGCUGUGUUUUGUUGCUUUAAUACUUUUACUGCCAUUGUUGUGUUUUGGCAGCAUUCAGAGUGGACAGAUAGAGUGAAGAAAGAAUAAAAGAUUAAUUUACAUUUUCUACGCCACAGGUAUAUUUAAAAUGCUUCAGUACAACAAUAAGUGCCAGAAGAGUUGUAAGGAAUUAUGGGAAAAGAAUGUCAAACACUGAAAGGGAUAAUGCCUUGAGGAUCUGUGUGGUUAAUGUGCUUGGUGGUCUGUGGUGUGGUGGUCCAUCCACACCCACACAUGUCCCUGGCACUGUGCUGUGUGGAGAUUUAAAAGACAGAAAGAAAUUGGUUCCCAGAGUGGUGGAUGGCAAGAACAGCCUCAAUAAUCAUGUUGUUAGUGCUGAGUCAAUAUGGAGCUUUAAAAGAUGAUUAGAUUAGUUUAUAAGAACCUAAGAACAUAAGGGAACCAGCAGGAAGCCAUCAGGCCUACAUGUGGCAGUCCCUGUAUGAAACACGCUUAUCAGUUUCCACCUUUCAUCCCCAUCCAUAAAUUUGCCUAAUCUUCUGAAUAAGUUUGUCUCAUCUUCUUAUAGAUAGAGACAGUAUGGAUAUGGAUAGAUAUGUUUUAUACAGGUAUUACCACUUGUAGUUGUCUUGGCCUCUUGCAGCUUUCUUUAUUUUCCAUUUAUGUUCUACUGAGAAGACUGUAUUUAUAGGACAGGGCAGGUGGAGGGGAGGGAAGGCCAGUGUGUGAAAUCCUGACCUUGUGUCUGUAACCUUGAUGACUUUCCAAAUGUAAAUCUUUGUAAUCCUCAUGACAAAAAAGGUGCACUGUCAUCAAUUAGACUUUGUGUGUGGCACAUUAGUGAUUCAGCUGAUUAUUGCCCAUCAGCCCUGCGCCCCUGACCUGGGAAAUGAGUGGCCUGUGCUCAUUAGCCUCACUGCUGCACUGGAGGGAGGGGAGAGGGAGGGUUGGUGGGGCAGUGCUUGGCUGGGUCAGGGAGUGGCAGGGACAGACAACACAGAGCUUCAGUGUGUGGCUCCAGACCCAAGUGGGGAAGGGUAGCCAGUGGUGUGUUGCAGGGCUGUGCAUCAGACCCACUGCUGGACAUUGACUUAAAUUGUGGAAUUAGUACUGAUAUUGUUAACUACAUAGAUAACUUAAAGAUAGAUAGUGACUGUUGAAUUAGUACCAAUAUUAUUAACUACUUAAAUGAUGCGAAGAUGGACAGGCAGGAUUGUCGGUGCACACUCUGAUACAGCCACCAUGCACACAGUUAUACUAAAAACGAGGAAAUACAUAUAAAAAAAAUGCAUAUGUAAAGUAGAAUAGAUAGAGGAAAUCCAAGUGGAAAGUGUCUUUUAUAAGAUCAGAGGCUGCACAAAAUUGAGGUGUUAGUUAGCCCAGACCUCCAUCAGGGAAAUGAAGCUGUAGAGGGCGGAAAAAGAGCUAAUCAUGAGUCAGGAUUUAUGGUGAGAAGUGUUGAAGGCCCUUUGGUGAUGCUACAGUUAUACCCAACACUGGUGAGGCCUCAUCUAGACUACACUGUGCAGCUCAAAUCCCACAGCAAAGAAGGGAUAAAAGUCUAAUACAGGCAGUGCAGAAGAGGAUGCCAUUGAAGACACGAGAUGCAUUAUAUUCCCUAUGAGAGGAAACUAAAACAUUGAAAUUUACAUAGUAGAUUAAGAGUUAACAGGUAUUUGGCCCUUUCCUUGCAAUAUCGACCCAUUCACAACACUAAACAUGAUGUAUGAAAUCAUUAUAGGCCUCUACAAGAAAAGAAUUAGGUUCAGAAAAAUAGGCUUUGGAAUUUAGCCAGCGUAGUGCUUUGCGGUGGCUGUGGAACAAAAAUAAGUGUCUUAGAAUGUUUAGUUAUUGAGGAAAGAUAAAGCAAGGAGCAGUGAAAGCAUUAAGUGUAAGUCAUAUAGCAAGGUUGGUGACAAGGGAGAUAGCCAAGGGAUUUUUAACAAGCCUAAGACAAUAAGUGGCAUGUUCAAGCUUGCCGAAGGAGGAAGAUAGGAAGAAACUAGCAGUUGAGUGGCAUAUGAUGUGGUCGGUGUUCAGACUGUUGGUGAGUCAGUAGAGAGGUGAAGUGAGUCAGUUACGAGGUUGUUGGUGAAUCAAUAGGGAGGUGAAGUCAGUAACCAGUUGUUGGUGAGUCAGUAGGGAGGAGAAGUGAGUCAGUAAUCAGUUGGUGAGUCUGUAGGGAGGUGAAGUGAGUCAGUAUUCAGUUGGUGAGUCAGUAGGGAAAUGAAGUGAGUCAGUAGGGAGGUGAAGUGAGUCAGUAAUCAGUUGGUGAGUCAGUAGGAAGGUGAUGUGAGUCAGUAAUCAGUUGAUAGUCUGUAGGGAGGAGAAGUGAGUCAGUAUUCAGUUGUUGAGUCAGUAGGGAGGUGAAGUGAGUCUGUAUUCAGUUGGUGAGUCAGUAGGGAGAUGAAGUGAGUCAGUAGGAAGGUGAAGUGAGUCAGUAUUCAGUUGGUGAGUCAGUAGGGAGAAGUGAAUAGGGAUGAGUUGAGUGUAGGCAUGCAGAUAACACAGGGCCACAUGUAGGCCUACUGGCACCCUGCAGCCUUUUAACCCUCUGACUGCCACUUGGUACACCUUUCCCUAAUCACUAAUCACUUUGAGACACCUUUAGUUCCACAGCCACAUCCAGUCUUUGAACUGGGAAGAAAUUGCAGAAUGUAUUCUUUUUCAUCGCUAACUUUCUUGUAGACGCUUGUUAAGGACUUGCUUCUGCUGUUGCCAAUUGUGUCAUGUCGCAGUGAAAGGGUUGAUGUUACCACCACUGACCACCAUGGACCUGUGCUGACCUCCAUAAGCCCAGUGUUGACAGUAACUUGUUGUAUUAGGAAAGCAGUGUUGCCAAGUGGGCUUUUUUCUUCAUCGGUGGCCUUUUUAUUUUAUUUAUUUAUUUAUUUAUUUAUCUAUUUAUUUAUUUUUUAUUAAUUUUAUUUAUUUAUUUUUUUUGCUGAUGCCCCACAUAUGGAAAAGAAAGAAAA
Molecule: long non-coding RNA, 5095 nt
Organism: Scylla paramamosain (green mud crab)
Lineage: Eukaryota; Metazoa; Arthropoda; Malacostraca; Decapoda; Portunidae
Exons: 2
Source: RefSeq, a predicted model, not a curated record